Molecule: ribosomal RNA, 497 nt
Filed under: uncultured bacterium
Lineage: Bacteria
Description: partial 16S ribosomal RNA
Rfam family: Bacterial small subunit ribosomal RNA
Source: RNAcentral
GAUGAACGCUGGCGGCGUGCCUAAUACAUGCAAGUCGAGCGAACAGACGAGGAGCUUGCUCCUCUGACGUUAGCGGCGGACGGGUGAGUAACACGUGGAUAACCUACCUAUAAGACUGGGAUAACUUCGGGAAACCGGAGCUAAUACCGGAUAAUAUAUUGAACCGCAUGGUUCAAUAGUGAAAGACGGUUUUGCUGUCACUUAUAGAUGGAUCCGCGCCGCAUUAGCGAGUUGGUAAGGUAACGGCUUACCAAGGCAACGAGGCGUAGCCGACCUGAGAGGGGGAUCGGCGACACUGGAACUGAGACACGGUCCAGACUCCUACGGGAGGCAGCAGUAGGGAAUCUUCCGCAAUGGGCGAAAGCCUGACGGAGCAACGCGGCGUGAGUGAUGAAGGUCUUCGGAUCUUAAAACUCUGUUAUUAGGGAAGAACAAAUGUGUAAGUAACUAUGCACGUAUUGACGGUACCUAAUCAGAAAGCCACGGCUAACUCCGUG